AGGGAAUCUUCCACAAUGGACGCAAGUCUGAUGGAGCAACGCCGCGUGAGUGAAGAAGGUUUUCGGACCGUAAAGCUCUGUUGUUGGUGAAGAAGGAUAGAGGUAGUAACUGGCCUUUAUUUGACGGUAAUCAACCAGAAAGUCACGGCUAACUACGUGCCAGCAGCCGCGGUAAUACGUAGGUGGCAAACGUUGUCCGGAUUUAUUGGGCGUAAAGCGAGCGCAGGCGGAAGAAUAAGUCUGAUGUGAAAGCCCUCGGCUUAACCGAGGAAUUGCAUCGGAAACUGUUUUCUUGAGUGCAGAAGAGGAGAGUAGAACUCCAUGUGUAGCGGUGGAAUGCGUAGAUAUAUGGAAGAAUACCAGUGGCGAAGGCGGCUCUCUGGUCUGCAACUGACGCUGAGGCUCGAAAGCAUGGGUAGCGAACAGGAUUAGAUACCCUGGUAGUCCAUGCCGUAAACGAUGAGUGCUAAGUGUUGGGAGGCUUCCGCCUCUCAGUGCUGCAGCUAACGCAUUAAGCACUCCGCCUGGGGAGUACGACCGCAAGGUUGAAAC
This 552-nucleotide ribosomal RNA is filed under the name uncultured bacterium. RNAcentral's name for it is "partial 16S ribosomal RNA". It matches the Rfam family "Bacterial small subunit ribosomal RNA", at positions 356 to 900 of the family's 1533-position model. The record is from RNAcentral.